Corvus hawaiiensis (hawaiian crow) is the source of this 274-nucleotide long non-coding RNA. RefSeq lists it as uncharacterized. The transcript is spliced from 2 exons. The record is from RefSeq and is a predicted model, not a curated record. NCBI's taxonomy places the organism in Eukaryota, Metazoa, Chordata, Aves, Passeriformes, Corvidae.
CUAUAGCAUCCAGCCUGAAAAUGUAAUGCCAGCGGUAGGAGUGGUGGAGGGCUCUGGCUGCGGGCGGCUCCGGCAGAAAGUGCUCGCUGGAGCUGGGGACCGAGGGAAGAGCCUGGCACUGUUUGGCACCACAAGCCGUGACUACCACCCUAGUAAAGCCAAGGUGGGAUGGACCCAAAGGACGUCACCCCCAGCUUCUCCUCUGGGACUGAGAGAAGACUAAAGGAUUUGUUAUUUUUACACUGCAAUCCAAUAAAUUCAACAAUCUGGUCCA